RNAcentral lists this ribosomal RNA (253 nucleotides) under uncultured bacterium. RNAcentral's name for it is "partial 16S ribosomal RNA". It matches the Rfam family "Bacterial small subunit ribosomal RNA", at positions 524 to 776 of the family's 1533-position model. The record is from RNAcentral.
UACGGAGGGUGCAAGCGUUAUCCGGAUUCACUGGGUUUAAAGGGUGCGUAGGUGGGUUGGUAAGUCAGUGGUGAAAUCCCCGAGCUUAACUUGGGAACUGCCAUUGAUACUAUCAGUCUUGAAUACCGUGGAGGUCAGUGGAAUAUGUCAUAUAGCGGUGAAAUGCUUAGAUAUGACAUAGAACACCAAUUGCGAAGGCAGCUGGCUACACGAAUAUUGACACUGAGGCACGAAAGCGUGGGGAUCAAACAGG